RNAcentral lists this non-coding RNA (672 nucleotides) under Drosophila virilis. RNAcentral describes it as "Eukaryotic large subunit ribosomal RNA". It matches the Rfam family "Eukaryotic large subunit ribosomal RNA", at positions 2781 to 3401 of the family's 3401-position model. The record is from Rfam by way of RNAcentral. Lineage: Eukaryota; Metazoa; Arthropoda; Insecta; Diptera; Drosophilidae.
UUUAAAAGAAGAUUUUAACAAUAUGUUUAAGAGAAAUUCAUCAUAAGUAAAAAAAGAUUUAGGGGACCUAGCUUUUUAAGAGAAGUUUGAAUUUCGAUCCAAUGAAGUAGGCUCAUCUCAUCAUUUUGAAGCAAAAUUCACCAAGUGAUAGGAAUGUUCACCCAUAGCAAGGGAAUGUGUGCUGGGUAUAGACCGUCGUGAGACAGGUUGGUUUUACCGUAGUAAUGACGAAACGUGGUUGCGACAGCAUUCCUGCGUAGUACGAGAGGAACCGCAGGUACGGACCAAUGGCACAAUACUUGUUCGAGCGAACAGUGGUAUGACGCUACGUCCGUUGGAUUAUGCCUGAACGCCUCUAAGGUCGUAUCCGUGCUGGACUGCAAUGAUAAAUAAGGGGCAAUUUGCAUUGUAUGGCUUCUAAACCAUUACAAGUUUUUAAUUUGUUUUAUUAACGACAAUGGAUGUGAUGCCAAUGUUAUUUAUAACAUAGUAAAUUGGGAGGAUCUUCGAUCACCUGAUGCCGCGCUAGUUAUAUUUUAAAACAUUAUUUAAUACAAUGUCAAAGCCUAGAAUCAAUUGUAAACGACUUUUGUAACAGGCAAGGUGUUGUAAGUGGUUGAGCAGCUGCCAUACUGCGAUCCACUGAAGCUUAUCCUUUGCUUGAUGAUUCGA